GACGUAGGUGGCGAACGUUAUCCGGAAUUAUUGGGCGUAAAGGGUGCGUAGCUGGUUUGAUAAGUUAGUGGUGGGAAAUCGAGGCUCAACCUCGUGGAAGUCACUAAUACUAUCAAACUAGAGUGCAGGAGAGGUUAACGGAACUCCAUGUGUAGCGGUAAAAUGCGACGAUAUAUGGAUGAACACCAAUAACGGCGAAGGCAGUUAACUAUUCUGCUACUGACAUUGAGGCACGAAAGCGUGGGGAGCAAAACGG
RNAcentral lists this ribosomal RNA (256 nucleotides) under uncultured bacterium. RNAcentral describes it as "partial 16S ribosomal RNA". It matches the Rfam family "Bacterial small subunit ribosomal RNA", at positions 524 to 776 of the family's 1533-position model. The record is from RNAcentral.